RNAcentral lists this long non-coding RNA (299 nucleotides) under Homo sapiens (human). RNAcentral describes it as "non-protein coding lnc-TRPV6-1:1". Lineage: Eukaryota; Metazoa; Chordata; Mammalia; Primates; Hominidae. The record is from RNAcentral.
CCCGCCCUCCCGGCCUAGGCGUUCUGGAGGACGGGAAGUCUAAGAUGAAGACACCAACAGCUUCAGUGUCUGAUAAGGGCUCGCUUCCUGGUUCACAGAUGGUCAUCUUUUUGCUGCAUCCUCACGUGGCAGAAGGAUGAGCAGAAGGAUCUCAGAAGUUACAUUUUUAAAAUGACAGAUGGGAACAACCAUUACAACUCCUUAGUCUAUGAAUUACUCCUUGGAGAGGCAACUCCCGUCAACCAGGAACAACCAUUUAGCACUCUACAUGAGCAAGAAAUAAACUUCCAUCAUGAUCG